UCAUCCUACUUGACUUGAUCAUUCUAAUUAUAUUUGAAGAAGAGUACAAGUUUUGAAGCUCCUCAUUAUGCAGUAGUCAUUAACCCAUACUGAGAAAUACUCCUCUUAUUAAAAUGAAAACAGGUCCUGUAUGCACCAAAUAAUUUGGCAGAAACCAUAUUGCUUCAUUGCAAUGGAUCUGAUUUGUCUCACUUAGAGACAGCCCAGCAUUUUAGAGGAACAUAUCACCUCCAUCUUCAGGGUCAGUGUGUAAGCUAAGCAUAAAACCAGUAGAAGCAGGGAGCAAGCAAAGUUUGCUUGCCGCCUAAUUCUUGGUUUCUUGCUUGCUUAUGCACUGACACUGAAAAGGGGGGCAAUGUUCCUCUAAAAUGUUGGGCUCCCUCCAAACUACAUGGCAUUACAACACAAAAGACUGUACACAUGUCUUCAUCUUGUAACCGAUCAUUACCUACGGGCACCAUUCUUAAAUAUUACCAACUAUAAUAUAAAUUUUUAAUUUUUAUUAAUACUUAGGACUUAAUACCAUUUUUGUACUAAAGGUGACUUAUACUCAGUUUUGCAGUAAGUAUUCUGAGAAUUGGUAACAAGGAAAUGUUUAGAUAAGGACUACUGCAACUCGAGACAAUCCCAUGAUAGAAAGAAAGGUAUAUGUAUCAGUUACUCCCCCUCCAACCAGGCAAACUAAAGAAACUUCCAGAACACUCUCAAACUGUAGAGUGGUGUGGAAGCUUGAAGAAAAAUCUCUUAUGCUGAAGGUUCUUGAAGUAUUAUGUCAUACAAGAGUAUUUAGAGGCUGAUUUCAGAUGGUGCUGAUCAUGGUAUUCAUUGCAGUGUUGGGUGUUGUGUAUUACUGACUAUUGCUGGCUGGUAGUGAACAGUGCAGUUAUGUAUCAGAGUAGUUGUAUCAGCAUAAACAAACUGAUUUGUGUAAUAUCGUGUAGUGCUGUUAACGAUAAAUUAAGUUCAUCAUUUUCACGA
Molecule: long non-coding RNA, 978 nt
Organism: Cryptotermes secundus
Lineage: Eukaryota; Metazoa; Arthropoda; Insecta; Blattodea; Kalotermitidae
Exons: 2
Source: RefSeq, a predicted model, not a curated record